Long non-coding RNA from Thalassophryne amazonica, 221 nucleotides. RefSeq lists it as uncharacterized. NCBI's taxonomy places the organism in Eukaryota, Metazoa, Chordata, Actinopteri, Batrachoidiformes, Batrachoididae. The record is from RefSeq and is a predicted model, not a curated record. The transcript has 2 exons.
GUAUAAGCAUUCUGAAAUCAACUCCUCUCACAUUUUUAGUAGAAAUUUCAUGUAACUUGCUACAAGUCUUUGUUGUAGGUUGGUAAUACACAUAUUUUCAUAUCAUUCCAGUUGGGCUCAUUUUACCAGAUUAUGGCUCUUGAUUAACAAACCUAGACACUGCCAGUUUCAUGAGUUGGUGCCUGCAUUCAGAAAUCAACUUCUCUCACAUUUUUAAGAGG